AGAGUUUGAUCCUGGCUCAGAGCGAACGCUGGCGGCAGGCUUAACACAUGCAAGUCGAGCGGGCGUAGCAAUACGUCAGCGGCAGACGGGUGAGUAACGCGUGGGAACGUACCUUUUGGUUCGGAACAACCCAGGGAAACUUGGGCUAAUACCGGAUAAGCCCUUACGGGGAAAGAUUUAUCGCCGAAAGAUCGGCCCGCGUCUGAUUAGCUAGUUGGUGAGGUAACGGCUCACCAAGGCGACGAUCAGUAGCUGGUCUGAGAGGAUGAUCAGCCACAUUGGGACUGAGACACGGCCCAAACUCCUACGGGAGGCAGCAGUGGGGAAUAUUGGACAAUGGGCGCAAGCCUGAUCCAGCCAUGCCGCGUGAGUGAUGAAGGCCCUAGGGUUGUAAAGCUCUUUUGUGCGGGAAGAUAAUGACGGUACCGCAAGAAUAAGCCCCGGCUAACUUCGUGCCAGCAGCCGCGGUAAUACGAAGGGGGCUAGCGUUGCUCGGAAUCACUGGGCGUAAAGGGUGCGUAGGCGGGUCUUUAAGUCAGGGGUGAAAUCCUGGAGCUCAACUCCAGAACUGCCUUUGAUACUGAAGAUCUUGAGUUCGGGAGAGGUGAGUGGAACUGCGAGUGUAGAGGUGAAAUUCGUAGAUAUUCGCAAGAACACCAGUGGCGAAGGCGGCUCACUGGCCCGAUACUGACGCUGAGGCACGAAAGCGUGGGGAGCAAACAGGAUUAGAUACCCUAGUAGUCC
This 744-nucleotide ribosomal RNA is filed under the name uncultured bacterium. Its description in RNAcentral is "bacterial SSU rRNA". It matches the Rfam family "Bacterial small subunit ribosomal RNA", at positions 8 to 796 of the family's 1533-position model. The record is from RNAcentral.